This 488-nucleotide transfer-messenger RNA is filed under the name Candidatus Omnitrophota. RNAcentral's name for it is "VGKN01 sp016867055 Standard tmRNA". It matches the Rfam family "transfer-messenger RNA". Rfam says of the family: Bacterial tmRNA, also known as 10Sa RNA or SsrA, is named for its dual tRNA and mRNA-like properties. Its role is to liberate the mRNA from a stalled ribosome. RNAcentral also lists the same sequence under 1 other name. Lineage: Bacteria; Pseudomonadati. The record is from RNAcentral.
GGGGGCGAAAGGUUUCGACUUAGGUAAGCCGAUAGGAGUGGCAUGCCGAGGGAGUCGGGUGGCCUCGUCCCUCGACGCUGCUCGGGACCUUUUAAGGACCCUGAGCGUAGUCGAAGGGUAAAAACCCGGCAAAAAACAAACGCUGAAAACAGUAAUGUUCCAGCUACAGUGGAUGAGCUUCUUUCGGAAAUAGGAAUGGGUAUUGCCCAUCCUGUUUUUCCGAGCGGAGUUCUCCCGCUGUCAAGCGCGGUUAUUAAAUAACCGCCCAUCAGCUGCUCCUGCCUGUGGGAGCGGAUUUGAUGUCGCAAGCAGGCUGGUCCCUGAUUUUAUCCUUUGAAUGAGGGGACGAGAACUCUAAAAGGAUAGCUUGGUAGGGAUCCCUCCUAUUGGAGCUAUACCUUGCGAAAACUUAAAAGGUAGGAUAAGCAUGUAGAGGCUCUUAUCAAGGAUGCUUAAGGACGCGAGUUCAAUUCUCGCCGCCUCCACCA